UUCAAUAGAUUUCUUCUUUAAUCCAGAUGUGAUUUAGAAGCAUAUUUCUUAAUUUCCAAACACAUGGGGGCUUUUUUUCAGGGGAGGGGGCAGGGUCUUGCUCUGUCACCCAGGCCAGACUCCUCGGCUCAAGCCAUCCUCCUGCCUCAGCCUCCUGAGUAGCUGGGACUGUAGGUGCACACCACCAUGCCUGGCUAAUUAUACAUACAUACAUACAUACAUAUAUAUAUAUAUAUAUAUAUUUUUUUUUUUUUUGUCGAGAUGGGGGUCUCGCUGUGUUGUCCAGGCCUGUCUUGAACUCCUGGCCUUAAGUGAUUCUCCCACCUUGGAGUCCCAAAGUGUUGGGAUUACAGGCAUGAUCCACCUUGUUAUCUUUUUAUUGCUGAUUUAUCUUUCAGUGGUUUUGCAAGCUAGGGAUGUAUGCAGAAAAAAAGGUAAGUAGAGUCAUUUCCAUGAAGCAAAGCCAUGAAGGGUACAAAAGAGAAUUAUUACCUUCAAAGCUUUAGUUGUGAAGAUAGAUGACCCCAAUGAGGGCGACACUAGUGGGGAGAGGUAAAAUCCUAAAGAAUUAACAGAGUGGUAGGCAAACUGAUAAGGGUGCUCUCCCACCGAACGAUUUUUCUGGAGGUCAAUUUGGCAGUUGUAUCAAAAAUUUUUAAAAAGCCUACCCACUGAGCUAGGCUUUUAAGGAAUACACCUUAAAGAAAUAUUUAGAAUGGUACAAAGAUUUUCCUACAAGGGUGUUCUUCACAGUACUAUCUAUAAUAUAGAGAAUGUAGAAAGAUCCUAACUGUCCAACAUUACUGAAUUAAAAGAGUCAUAUUGUAUACUCAUACAAUGGGAUUCAACCACUACAAAUGGUAUUUCAGAAAUAUAAUUAUUGAUAUAAAAGGUGAUAAAAAUAUACCAUUGAAUGUUUAAAAAAGGAACUAAAGAGCUAAACAUAGUAUAAUCCAAGUUUUGGGGAAAAAAAGGACACCCAUAUAUUUACUAUAAAAGAAGAUUUGGAAAAUUAUGCCCCAAAUUGUUGGCAGUAGUUGGUGGGGCCAAUCAUUUUAAUUUUCUUUUCGUUCAUCUGUGCUUUUUUUUUUUUUUUCCCCCUACAAUAGGCAGAUGGGAAGGUAUGUGGGCAGCUUGAGAAGAAGUGCACCUGCCUUCCUUUGUAAUGGCUGGGGGCCUUUGUCAACCAAGUUGAUGUAUAUGACCUCAGGUUCCAGUUCUUUGGAAAAUCCAACCUGGGAUGGGACAGGGCAGGACCCUGACUUCUCACUCCUCUUGCUUUCAGCCAAGCUGCUUGCUAACCUUGACAUGGGCAAGGCUGGGGGCCUCAUGUCUCAGACUCUCUCUCUGUUGUACUUUAAAACUCUACCCUUGAUCAAGUCCCGCCUCUUCUGUAAAGCAAUCUCUCUCUUCUGAAAAAUAUCUAAAGCUAUGUUUUUUAUUUUAUUUUAUUGUUUGUGUGUGUCUGUUUCCCCUGUGAAAAGGAAGAAGAAGUAAGGCUUUCUUUGGGGGCUUACUAGAGAGAAUUCAAGAAAAUAUAAAUGGUCACAGAGGCAGAUAAUCCUUAGAAAGAGAUACCAAGAGGUCAGCUGUCUAGGUAUUCAUUUUCCCCUGAGACACAUAAUCUCUGUCCAAGCUGAAAGGUGUUUAUCUCUUUCUUGAGACUCUCCCACCAUUCAUACCCUUUGUGUAAAGGCAUCACUGUGGAUGCUUAAAAUCAGGAAUGUAUUUGUUUUUGCUUUAGCUGAAGUUGAGUUUUGUUUGCUUCACAUUAAGCCUGUUACAGUUUCUUGUAUGAUCACCGAAUAUGAGGAAUGUCUGAAUGAUCUCUUCUUUUUUUCUUUAAGUGGAGCUAGUACUUGAGGGCUGCCAUGCUAUUUCCUAGAUAUCUCUUCUGAAGACCAAAUCCCAGCAUCUGUCACCUUUCUUUCUAGGCUCUUUUCCACCUUGCAUAUUUCUUCUCAGAAUCCUUUCCAAUUUCUUCACUACUUCUUUUUUUCUUUUUUAAAACUGAGACAGGGUUUCGCUAUGUUGCCCAGGCUGGUCUCGAACUCCUGGGCUCAAGCGGUCCUCCCACCUCGGUCCCCCAAGUAGCUGGGAUUCCAAGUGCGAGCCCAUGUAUCUGGCAUUAUUUCUUCAUUUCUUUCAAAAGUCUGAAAUCCCUAACUAGACAUAGCUCUUGAAUAAUGGUUGGGUCAUUAAUGAAAAGGAUGCUACUUUUUAGUUUGCACACACACAUUAAGUUAACUUCCACCCACCAUUAAUAAAGUCCAAGACUGUUAACAUAGAAGCCGUAUAUUAAUCAUCGGUUAGCUCUGCUUUAAGGGCAUGAGGAUGAUGAUGACAGAUUAUCAGUCUUACUGAGUACUUGUAGUAACCAUAUCUUUUUAUUCUGUAUUUUGGAUGCAGACAUCUUCGGGUUAUCAGUCCUACUGAGUACUUGUAGUAACCAUAUCUUUUUAUUCUGUAUUUUGGAUGCAGACAUCUUCGGGCUUUGCAGACACUGGAGGGACUGCCCUUGCAGGGCUGGAUAACUCCUACAUACAGCAAACAACCUGCUGUCAGCCACCUCUCACACAAAACCAAGCGGGCUAGAGCCCACACCCAGGACACCUUCUUCAUCAGGCCUUUACACUUCUCGCCAUGAUUCCCCUGCCCUGGUCACCCUAGGGCUAGGUACCAGACAAUUAGGGACAGCCCCUACCUCCUAGCGCCAUCUGUAAUGAUUCAGACUAGCCACUUAUCCUAAUCCUGCUCAUCCUACUGCGCCUUCCUUCCUGUGGAAAACACCAUGGAGGCUCUUGGCAGUGUUUCCCCACAUCCCUCUCCCCUUCACUGACCCUGGCGCUUCCCCAUGUGUCCCCUGUAUGGUCCCCUGUAUGGCGUGGCAUGGGCCCUGUCUCUAGGGAUUUGUGAGUCCAGCACUCCCUCCUUAAUUGUCGUUUUGCUUUCCUCGUUUCAGUUACUUGCGUCAACUGCAGUAAAAGAAUAUUAAGAUAUUUUGAGAGAGAGAAGGGAAGCAAAGAGAGACCACAUUCACAUAAGUUUUAUUACAGUAUAUUUUAAUAAUUGUUCUAUGUUAUUAUUAUUGUCGUUAAUCUCUCAUUGUGCCUAAUUUAUAAGUUCAACUUUAUCACAGGUCUGGAUGUAUGGGAGAAAACAGUAUCUAAAAGGUUCGCAGUUUCAGGCAUCCCCAUGAGGCUAAGGGGGGACUACUGUGUAACAAACUUCUUCCUUCAUGACAGUCAUUUCCAGAUCUGUGUGUCUUAUGGUACCUGAUAAAAACAAAUCCCAAAUACCAUUAAAACAGCACUGACUUCAUACUAGGCACUCUAUGCUUUAUGUGGAUUGUGACAUUUACUUGUGACAAGGGCAAUACUGGGCAAAUCCUAUCAUUUCCCUGGUUUUAAGGCUGAAAAAACAGAGGCUUAGAGAGGUGUAGUGACUUGCUCAGAGUCCUCGCUGUAGCGUGGGGUAAAGCCAGGAUAUGACUUCACAUAGUUUAACUCCAGAACUUACACUGUCAUCUUGUUUUGUUUUUCUGCUUCUCUUGUGUGUCAAAAGAAUUCCUCCUUAGUUGUUCUCAUAUGGGGCAACCAUUAAAUUAGGCAGUGUAAAAAACAAGUUAUGCAGAAUAAAGUAGCACGAGCAAUCUACUCUGAAAUUAGUGUUUUCCCUCACUUUAGCACCUUUAGCUGACCCAGCUUCCUACCGCCCAGACAUUUUACAAAAUCUCUCUCUGCAGUUGCCUCCUGAUCUGGAUUAGGAGUCACACAAGAAAAUCAGUCUCAUGAGUCCAUCAUUUUUCCUCAUUUCUGACCAGAAGUAUUCUGCCCCAUUUGCUUCACCUUACUUAUUUCUAAAUCACUCUAGCUCAUUUAAACAAACAAACAAACAAACAAUGAAACUUACUGCAAGGGCACAGAAUAACUAUCAUUAAAGAUGUCUGUGUAAUUAUGCCAUAAGUUGCAAGGCCAACUCAUGAAGCAUUCUGUAUGUUCUUUGAGCAGUGGCACUGUGGCUCGAACCAAUGUCCAGCUUCCACACUAUCUGCUUGGAAGAGGAUUACCCUUAUUUGGAAGUCUGAGUUUUGAGGAUUUGGGGAAAGCAGGCACGCAAGCAGACACACCUUAUUCUCUACAGCAUCAUUUAUACCUCAACUAAGUCAGCUGAGCAAAUGCCUGCUGAAAAGUUCUGGGAGUGGCAUAGCUAAGAACCAGAAAGGCGAUCUUUCUUUUGGAUUAAGUCAACAGAGUCAUACCCACAAGGAGAACUAUCAAAUAUCAGAUGCGAGAGGUGAAGUCGGGUUAUAAGGUGAGAGCUGAGAAGGGAGAAACAGGAUUCUACAUAACACAUUGCAAAUGGUCACAACAAUCAAGACUAUAUCCAUAGAUGUCCCAGAAAUAAUAUCUGACUAUACAGAGCAGCAUUACCAAGCCACCAAGAAGUCUGCCUAGUAAUGACAAUGAUAACAACAGCUAACACUUAAACAAAACCUUUUCCAUCAGCAAAGCAUUUUAGAACCUCAAGCUACACUGUUCCCACCUGCAACUGUCUAAGGUAUUGGAGGUCAAGGACAGUCCAAGGCCAAGUCAAGGACCAUCAGGACACAGAGGAGUAACUUCUGAGGCAGCCCCCGGUGGUAACAUAAAAGCGUAAUAUGCAUCAGACAAGUGCCUUCGCUGUGAGAUGUUGGGGAACCAAGCCCAGUGGGGUGGCUGGCGUCAGCUCAGUGUUCCAGAAAAUUCAAACUAUUCACCACAACUUGCCCUGAUUUUGCCUUCACUGCUAUUCAAAGAGGCCUGAAGCAGUUACUGAAAGCAAUUCCAAGAAAUUGAGUUAAAAAAAGAAAAUUAAAGUUUAGAAAAAAAUCAUGUGAAUAAGUGUGUAGACUUACAAAUAAAUUCUGAAUGGAACAGAAUAUUUGGGGGGUUCAUAACCUUUGGUAUAUUUGUUUUAAAAACCAGCCGCACCUCAAACACACCCACCAACAAUGAGACGAAUGGCUAGCACUUAUGAGGAAUUAUUAUUCAUUUAAAAUACCCUUUAAACUAUGUCACAAAGAUAAAUUUGUUUAGUCCUUACCUGUCCCCAAGCUUCAAAAUAAACCAUAAUAUUUCUAUUGAAGCCAGUUUCUUGUUCUUGGAAUCAGCUUUGUGAGUUGUCAGUUAGGCUAGAUGAGCUGAUUAGUAUGGAACUUAACACUGUCAGUAGCAAAACAGGUGCUCUAUCAGAGAAAUAUCAGUCCAUUUUAGGAAUGUUUUUGAGAGUGAACUGUGGUAUCUAUGAGAGAAAAAUCAAGCCUUUUCCCUCUUCCGGUCUGCUACGGUAAAUGGUGUGACACAAGGAUGUUUCACUGCCCAAUUAGCGUGGUCCAUUUUAAAGUGAAUCUGUUAUUUUCCUUUCCUUCCUCAUUCUUGACUUUUAGACACUGCAAGUUAACCUCAAAGAAUGUCUUCUUUGGGCAUAAUUUUACAAAUAUUCUUUAAGAUCCUUUAUCACAUUUCAAAGCACUUUGCGAAAACAAAAUGUCCUCAGUGGGGCAGGUGAGAUCUCAGGAAUAGUGAUAGAAUUCAUUUUAAAUAAGUCUGUGUGAUUUUUCUACUGUAUCAUUUCAGGGACUUUGCUUAAAGAGGCUUUAAGGAAGAACUUAAAAUGGAGAAAGCCAACUUUUGAACGUGGUGAUCAGGUUGCCUUCAGUCUCUUCUACGUCAGGGAGUCAAGGGGCUGUGGAACCAUCCGUUCCACCUGCUACAUGCUUUCUCACCCUUCUCCUAACCUGACAAAUACUAUGUGGCAUCUCCAUCAUGGUUGACAUUGCUAGGCCCUACCUUAUUCAACUCUAACUGAAAAAUGGAGAGCAAGAAAGGAUUAUGUAAGAAAAAAUGAAAAACUUUGAGGGCCAACUAACAGAUUUCCUAAACUAAUGAUGUAUUUUAAUAUUCCAGGGAUUUGAUUUAGGAAAAAUUGUUAUUUGGAUGGAUGCUUGUCUAUUGAGAGAGUAAUUGUUAAACUAAAGGAAACUGGUCACAAAUACUUUAGCAAUGGCUAUAAAUGACCAGUGGGCCAAGGAUUUUGAGAUCGUGAGAGACUUCUCCAGGAAUGUUGUCAUUCAUUUCACUCCAGUGUGGCUCUUUUCCUCCAUCUGCGGCUCAAGGACACUAGGAGAAAGACAUAAAUAGAAGUAUAUAUUAUCAUCUAGAUGGUGACUCUCCAAGGGGAUGAUGAGGGAACAGAAGUAAUGCUACCCUAAUUCUGAAAUAAUAAAAGCUCAAGCAAUGAAUGGCUGAAUUCACACCUCAAAAUUUCAUGGAAGACAGGCAUCCAAAAAUAAGCUUUCAAAACUGAAUGAACUCAUUACCACAAUUAAAGAAAACAAAAAGAAACAUUUUGCAUAACUGCUGGUUUUGCUGCUCCUUCUGCUAAUUUAGUUUGUCUGGAAGAGCCACUGUGUGGACCACCCAUGCUUCAAUGCACUUAACCAACACCUUUAGAAGAAAACAGGAUAGCUACAAAUGUGGAAACUCUACAGCAAGAACCAACACAAAUUAAAGUGUCUAAAAAAAUCAAUUGGGGCAGGCAUCUUCUUCUGAACUACAUUUACUAGAGCCUGCCACCCACAGAUGUCAAAGGAAUUCACAGGAUUAAAAGAAAAGGCUGGAGAAUGUACACUCACAGAGACCAGAGACUGACAUGAUCACUGCUGUCCCCUCGGCCGCCAGCAUCACAUCUGCGACAAUAAUGAGAUACUACACCAGCAUUUUCAAAAGAAAAAGGGGGCUGGUGUCGCAGUGUGGAAGCAGGCAGGUGGUCCUUCUCCACACCAGCCAGAGGAGGUCUACUUUCGUCUAUCCCACCAGACUAGAAUCUAAGCUGCACGAAGGCAGCAUUUGGUCUCCCCUGUUUGGAUGUCACCUCCAGAGCCUGGACGCUGGCAGAUACACACCAGAUGCUCAGUGCCUGAGAAAGGCCAUGUGCUAAACAGGAAGCACUGAUCAGCUUCCAGGGCACUGAAACCUUUACUUUGUGGCUGAAUAAAGCAACCUUGAAAAGA
Long non-coding RNA from Gorilla gorilla gorilla (western lowland gorilla), 7054 nucleotides. RefSeq lists it as uncharacterized. The record is from RefSeq and is a predicted model, not a curated record. Lineage: Eukaryota; Metazoa; Chordata; Mammalia; Primates; Hominidae. The transcript has 6 exons.